UGGGGAAUUGUUCGCAAUGGGCGCAAGCCUGACGACGCAACGCCGCGUGGAGGACGAAGACCUUCGGGUCGUAAACUCCUUUCGAUCGGGAAGAACGGCUUCCGGGUGAACCAUCCGGAAGAGUGACGGUACCGAGAGAAGAAGCCCCGGCUAACUCUGUGCCAGCAGCCGCGGUAAUACGGGGGGGGCAAGCGUUGUUCGGAUUUAUUGGGUUUAAAGGGUGCGUAGGCGGCUUUAUAAGUCCGUGGUGAAAGCCAACAGCUCAACUGUUGAACUGCCAUGGAUACUGUAAGGCUUGAGUACAGACGAGGUAGGCGGAAUGGAUGGUGUAGCGGUGAAAUGCAUAGAUACCAUCCAGAACCCCGAUUGCGUAGGCAGCUUACUAGGCCGUAACUGACGCUGAGGCACGAAAGCGUGGGGAGCGAA
Molecule: ribosomal RNA, 426 nt
Filed under: uncultured bacterium
Lineage: Bacteria
Description: bacterial SSU rRNA
Rfam family: Bacterial small subunit ribosomal RNA
Source: RNAcentral